Molecule: ribosomal RNA, 467 nt
Filed under: uncultured bacterium
Lineage: Bacteria
Description: partial 16S ribosomal RNA
Rfam family: Bacterial small subunit ribosomal RNA
Source: RNAcentral
GACGAACGCUGGCGGCGUGCUUAACACAUGCAAGUCGAACGCAAAGGCCCUGCUUUUGUGGGGUGCUCGAGUGGCGAACGGGUGAGUAACACGUGAGUAACCUGCCCUUGACUUUGGGAUAACUUCAGGAAACUGGGGCUAAUACCGGAUAGGAGCUCCUGCUGCAUGGUGGGGGUUGGAAAGUUUCGGCGGUUGGGGAUGGACUCGCGGCUUAUCAGCUUGUUGGUGGGGUAGUGGCUUACCAAGGCUUUGACGGGUAGCCGGCCUGAGAGGGUGACCGGCCACAUUGGGACUGAGAUACGGCCCAGACUCCUACGGGAGGCAGCAGUGGGGAAUAUUGCACAAUGGGCGGAAGCCUGAUGCAGCAACGCCGCGUGCGGGAUGACGGCCUUCGGGUUGUAAACCGCUUUCGCCUGUGACGAAGCGUGAGUGACGGUAAUGGGUAAAGAAGCACCGGCUAACUACGU